RNAcentral lists this ribosomal RNA (460 nucleotides) under uncultured bacterium. RNAcentral describes it as "partial 16S ribosomal RNA". It matches the Rfam family "Bacterial small subunit ribosomal RNA", at positions 338 to 795 of the family's 1533-position model. The record is from RNAcentral.
CCUACGGGGUGCUGCAGUGAGGAAUAUUGGUCAAUGGGCGCAAGCCUGAACCAGCCAAGUCGCGUGAGGGAUGACGGUCCUAUGGAUUGUAAACCUCUUUUGUCGGGGAGCAAGGCCCGCCACGUGUGGCGGUAAGGAGAGUACCCGAAGAAAAAGCAUCGGCUAACUCCGUCCCACAAGCCGCGGUAAUACGGAGGAUGCGAGCGUUAUCCGGAUUUAUUGGGUUUAAGGGGUGCGUAGGCGGAAGGUUAAGUCAGUGUUCAAAUGUCGGUGCCCACCACCGGCCUGCCGUUGAAACUGGUCUUCUUGAGUGAGCGAGAAGUAUGCGGAAUGCGUGGUGGAGCGGUGAAAUGCAUAGAUAUCACGCAGAACCCCGAUUGCGAAGGCAGCAUACCGGCGCUCAACUGACGCUGAGGCACGAAAGCGUGGGGAUCGAACAGGAUUAGAUACCCGUGUAGUC